CAGUCGCCGCGGUAAUACGAAGGGUGCAAGCGUUAAUCGGAAUUACUGGGCGUAAAGCGUGCGUAGGCGGUUUGUUAAGUCUGCUGUGAAAUCCCCGGGCUCAACCUGGGAAUGGCAGUGGAUACUGGCUCGCUAGAGUGUGUCAGAGGAUGGUGGAAUUCCCGGUGUAGCGGUGAAAUGCGUAGAGAUCGGGAGGAACAUCAGUGGCGAAGGCGGCCAUCUGGGACAACACUGACGCUGAGGCACGAAAGCGUGGGGAGCAAACAGGAUUAGAGACCCCUGUAGUCCCUGUCUCUUAUAC
Molecule: ribosomal RNA, 301 nt
Filed under: uncultured bacterium
Lineage: Bacteria
Description: partial 16S ribosomal RNA
Rfam family: Bacterial small subunit ribosomal RNA
Source: RNAcentral